RNAcentral lists this microRNA precursor (74 nucleotides) under Rhodnius prolixus. RNAcentral describes it as "mir-1000 microRNA precursor family". It matches the Rfam family "mir-1000 microRNA precursor family". Lineage: Eukaryota; Metazoa; Arthropoda; Insecta; Hemiptera; Reduviidae. The record is from Rfam by way of RNAcentral.
GACGGUAUUAUUGUCCUGUCACAGCAGUAUUGUUGAGCUUAAUCCUACUGCUGCAACGGGACAUAGCCACCGAA